Molecule: ribosomal RNA, 467 nt
Filed under: uncultured bacterium
Lineage: Bacteria
Description: partial 16S ribosomal RNA
Rfam family: Bacterial small subunit ribosomal RNA
Source: RNAcentral
GACGAACGCUGGCGGCGUGCUUAACACAUGCAAGUCGAACGAUGACGCCCGAGCUUGCUCGGUCUGAUUAGUGGCGAACGGGUGAGUAACACGUGAGCAACCUGCCCUUCACUCUGGGAUAACCUCGGGAAAUCGGGGCUAAUACCGGAUAUGAGCUCCUGUCGCAUGGCGGGUGUUGGAAAGUUUUUCGGUGAAGGAUGGGCUCGCGGCCUAUCAGUUUGUUGGUGAGGUAGUGGCUCACCAAGGCGAUGACGGGUAGCCGGCCUGAGAGGGCGACCGGCCACACUGGGACUGAGACACGGCCCAGACCCCUACGGGAGGCAGCAGUGGGGAAUAUUGCACAAUGGGCGAAAGCCUGAUGCAGCGACGCCGCGUGAGGGAUGACGGCCUUCGGGUUGUAAACCUCUUUCAGCAGGGAAGAAGCGAAAGUGACGGUACCUGCAGAAGAAGCGCCGGCUAACUACGUG